This 429-nucleotide ribosomal RNA is filed under the name uncultured prokaryote. RNAcentral describes it as "bacterial SSU rRNA". It matches the Rfam family "Bacterial small subunit ribosomal RNA", at positions 355 to 776 of the family's 1533-position model. The record is from RNAcentral. RNAcentral also lists the same sequence under 1 other name.
UGGGGAAUAUUGGACAAUGGGGGAAACCCUGAUCCAGCCAUGCCGCGUGUGUGAAGAAGGUCUUCGGAUUGUAAAGCACUUUAAGUUGGGAGGAAGGGCUUGUGGUUAAUAUCUGCAAGUUUUGACGUUACCGACAGAAUAAGCACCGGCUAACUCUGUGCCAGCAGCCGCGGUAAUACAGAGGGUGCAAGCGUUAAUCGGAAUUACUGGGCGUAAAGCGCGCGUAGGUGGUUCAGUAAGAUGGGAGUGAAAUCCCCGGGCUCAACCUGGGAACUGCUUUCAUAACUGCUGGGCUAGAGUACGGUAGAGGGUAGUGGAAUUUCCUGUGUAGCGGUGAAAUGCGUAGAUAUAGGAAGGAACACCAGUGGCGAAGGCGACUACCUGGACUGAUACUGACACUGAGGUGCGAAAGCGUGGGGAGCAAACAGG